UACGUAGGGAGCAAGCGUUGUUCGGAUUUACUGGGCGUAAAGAGCGUGUAGGCGGCCAGAUAAGUCCGCUGUGAAAUCUCGAGGCUCAACUUCGAGCUGUCGGUGGAAACUGUCUGGCUAGAGUCCGGAAGAGGAGAAUGGAAUUCCUGGUGUAGCGGUGAAAUGCGCAGAUAUCAGGAAGAACACCCGUGGCGAAGGCGGUUCUCUGGGACGGUACUGACGCUGAGACGCGAAAGCGUGGGGAGCGAACAGG
This 253-nucleotide ribosomal RNA is filed under the name uncultured bacterium. RNAcentral describes it as "partial 16S ribosomal RNA". It matches the Rfam family "Bacterial small subunit ribosomal RNA", at positions 524 to 776 of the family's 1533-position model. The record is from RNAcentral.